GUAUGCAAGUCCUAAACCUAAAAUCGCUGAUGCACGAAGCUUUACGGAGCCAGUUUCAAGGUAUUCAGAAAGAAUUGCCAUAGCUGGAUCAGCUUCAUUUCUUACUGCAACAUUUGUAACACCAAUUCCCAACAAUGCACCAGCCUUGGUAUUCUCCUCAGAAGAGUAUAAAUACUUAUCCAACAAAGACAAUCCCAUGUCAACAUUCCAUAAUUGUAAUAGGCCAAUAGAAGCUGUAGCACUUAUUAAACCAGAUUCUUUAUUUUUAUAAAUCCAAGACGUUUUUUCGUCAUCGACCAAAAUUAAUCUGUCGUUACUGUAUCCGGCAUUGACAAGGGCAUUGACAAAAGUGUUAGCUAAAUUUUGUUUGGCGGAAUACACUCCUGAUGCACCCAAUCCAGUCCUAGCCACUUCUAAAUG
Schizosaccharomyces pombe (fission yeast) is the source of this 420-nucleotide non-coding RNA. The record is from the annotation of a GenBank genome assembly. NCBI's taxonomy places the organism in Eukaryota, Fungi, Ascomycota, Schizosaccharomycetes, Schizosaccharomycetales, Schizosaccharomycetaceae.